Molecule: long non-coding RNA, 145 nt
Organism: Etheostoma spectabile (orangethroat darter)
Lineage: Eukaryota; Metazoa; Chordata; Actinopteri; Perciformes; Percidae
Exons: 3
Source: RefSeq, a predicted model, not a curated record
UAUAGCACCGUAAAGAAAAGACCCUUACGACAGCAAGUGUGGUAAAAGUACUACCGCUGUUGUCCAAAGUUGCCGCUAGAAUCAACACAAACUGGAAGUUCCGUAUAGCCACUUUAAUGAAAAAGUACAAGUCAACAGCCAAAAU